ACGAACGCUGGCGGCGUGCCUCAUACAUGCAAGUAGAACGCACAGUUUAUACCGUAGCUUGCUACACCAUAGACUGUGAGUUGCGAACGGGUGAGUAACGCGUAGGUAACCUGCCUGGUAGCGGGGGAUAACUAUUGGAAACGAUAGCUAAUACCGCAUAAUAUUGAUUAUUGCAUGAUAAUUGAUUGAAAGAUGCUAUUGCAUCACUACCAGAUGGACCUGCGUUGUAUUAGCUAGUAGGGGAGGUAACGGCUCACCUAGGCGACGAUACAUAGCCGACCUGGGGGGGUGAUCGCCCACCCUGGGACUGGGCCCCGGCCCAGACCCCUACGGGGGGCAGCGGUGGGGAAUCUUCGGCAAUGGACGAAAGUCUGCCCGACCAACCCCGCGUGGGUUAAGAAGGUUUUCGGAUCCUAAAGCUCUUUUUUAAGGGAAGACCGGGUUUGAAAGGGGAAAGUUCCCCCUUUGCCGGUAUUUUACCGAAAAGGGCCGCCUACCUCCUG
This 503-nucleotide ribosomal RNA is filed under the name uncultured bacterium. RNAcentral's name for it is "partial 16S ribosomal RNA". It matches the Rfam family "Bacterial small subunit ribosomal RNA", at positions 29 to 507 of the family's 1533-position model. The record is from RNAcentral.